This is a non-coding RNA of Sorex araneus (European shrew), 73 nucleotides long. The record is from the annotation of a RefSeq genome assembly. Lineage: Eukaryota; Metazoa; Chordata; Mammalia; Eulipotyphla; Soricidae.
GUUUCUGUAGUGUAGUGGUUAUCACGGCCACCUUGCAUGCAGAAGGUCCCUGGUUCGAAACCAGGCAGAAACA